CGUAGGCUGUUAGUACAAAUUAGAGUAAAAGACUGAGGUUGUACCUCUUAUAUCUCUUCUUACUGACUAACUUGGGUUCUAAAGGCGAUAUAUUGAACUCCUAAAGUAAGGGUAAAAUCUGUUGAUAUUUGGAGGACAUUCGAAAGCGAAAGCAUUUAUCGAUUUAGAUCUGACGCUAAGGUACUAAAGUGUGGUUAUCAAAAAGGAUUAGAGACCCUUGUAGUCCACACCUUAAACAAUGAGUAUUCAACGUCCUUUAACAUGGUAAGAAAAUCUUAAUUUUAUUUAUUAAUUUUGUUCUUUAACCAGAAGUUUUAGGGGAUUUAAAGCUAACGCGAAAAUACUCCGCCUGGGGAAUGUGGCCGCAAGGUUUAAACUCAACGGAAUUGACGGAGACUUGUACAAAG
Molecule: ribosomal RNA, 407 nt
Filed under: Diderma acanthosporum
Lineage: Eukaryota; Evosea; Eumycetozoa; Physariida; Didymiaceae
Description: SSU rRNA
Rfam family: Bacterial small subunit ribosomal RNA
Source: RNAcentral